UGAAGACUCUACUUGACUAGCUGAGAGGAGGUGCAUGGCCGUCGUCAGUUCGUACUGUGAAGCAUCCUGUUAAGUCAGGCAACGAGCGAGACCACGCCACAGUUGCCAGCUCGUCCUCCGGGAUGGUGGGGACACUGUUGGGACCGCUCUGCUAAAGAGGAGGAAGGAAUGGGCAACGGUAGGUCAGCAUGCCCCGAAUUAUCUGGGCUACACGCGGGCUACAAUGGGUGGGACAAUGGGUAUCGACACCGAAAGGUGAAGGCAAUCUCCUAAACCCAUCCGUAGUUCGGAUUGUGGGCUGCAACUCGCCCACAUGAAGCUGGAAUCUGUAGUAAUCGUGUCUCAAAAUGGCACGGUGAAUAUGUCCCUGCUCCUU
This 376-nucleotide ribosomal RNA is filed under the name uncultured Methanomicrobiales archaeon. Its description in RNAcentral is "bacterial SSU rRNA". It matches the Rfam family "Archaeal small subunit ribosomal RNA", at positions 960 to 1338 of the family's 1478-position model. The record is from RNAcentral. Lineage: Archaea; Methanobacteriati; Methanobacteriota; Methanomicrobia; Methanomicrobiales.